This 254-nucleotide ribosomal RNA is filed under the name uncultured bacterium. RNAcentral's name for it is "partial 16S ribosomal RNA". It matches the Rfam family "Bacterial small subunit ribosomal RNA", at positions 524 to 776 of the family's 1533-position model. The record is from RNAcentral.
UACGUAGGGUGCAAGCGUUUAAUCGGAAUUACUGGGCGUAAAGCGUGCGCAGGCGGUUAUGUAAGACAGAUGUGAAGUGCCCGGGCUUAACCUGGGAACUGCAUUUGUGACUGCAUGGCUAGAGUUUGGCAGAGGGGGGUAGAAUUCCACGUGUAGCAGUGAAAUGCGUAGAUAUGUGGAGGAACACCGAUGGCGAAGGCAGCCCCCUGGGUCAAGACUGACGCUCAUGCACGAAAGGCGUGGGAGCAAACAGG